GGGGAAUAUUGCACAAUGGGGGAAACCCUGAUGCAGCGACGCCGCGUGAGUGAAGAAGUAUUUCGGUAUGUAAAGCUCUAUCAGCAGGGAAGAAAAUGACGGUACCUGACUAAGAAGCCCCGGCUAACUACGUGCCAGCAGCCGCGGUAAUACGUAGGGGGCAAGCGUUAUCCGGAUUUACCGGGUGUAAAGGGAGCGUAGGUGGUUCGGUAAGUCAGGUGUGAAAGCCCGGGGCUCAACCCCGGGAUUGCACUUGAAACUAUCGGACUUGAGUGCAGGAGAGGUAAGUGGAAUUCCUAGUGUAGCGGUGAAAUGCGUAGAUAUUAGGAGGAACACCAGUGGCGAAGGCGGCUUACUGGACUGUAACUGACACUGAGGCUCGAAAGCGUGGGGAGCAAAC
This 400-nucleotide ribosomal RNA is filed under the name uncultured bacterium. RNAcentral's name for it is "bacterial SSU rRNA". It matches the Rfam family "Bacterial small subunit ribosomal RNA", at positions 356 to 773 of the family's 1533-position model. The record is from RNAcentral.